UACAGAGGGGGCAAGCGUUGUUCGGAAUUACUGGGCGUAAAGGGCGCGUAGGCGGCCCGCUAAGUCGAACGUGAAAUCCCCAGGCUCAACCUGGGAACUGCGUCCGAUACUGGCAGGCUUGAAUCCGGGAGAGGGAUGUGGAAUUCCAGGUGUAGCGGUGAAAUGCGUAGAUAUCUGGAGGAACACCGAUGGCGAAGGCAGGUCUCUGGGCCAUAACUGACGCUGAGAAGCGAAAGCAUGGGGAGCGAACAGG
This 253-nucleotide ribosomal RNA is filed under the name uncultured bacterium. Its description in RNAcentral is "partial 16S ribosomal RNA". It matches the Rfam family "Bacterial small subunit ribosomal RNA", at positions 524 to 776 of the family's 1533-position model. The record is from RNAcentral.